AGCAGCCGCGGUAAUUCCAGCUCCAAUAGCGUAUAUUAAAGUUGUUGCAGUUAAAAAGCUCGUAGUUGAAUUUCGGGAUCAGUUGGUCGGUCGUGCCUCGGUACGUACUGGUCAAAUUGAUUCCUACCUUCUGACGAACCACGAUGUCAUUAAUUUGGUGUCGCGGGAAAUCAGGACUGUUACUUUGAAAAAUUAGAGUGUUUAAAGCAGGCUCGCGCUUGAAUACAUUAGCAUGGAAUAAUGAAAUAGGACGUUUGAUUCUAUUUUGUUGGUUUCUAGGAUCGACGUAAUGAUUAAUAGGGAUAGUUGGGGGCAUUAGUAUUCAAUUGUCAGAGGUGAAAUUCUUGGAUUUAUUGAAGACUAACUACUGCGAAAGCAUUUGCCAAGGAUGUUUUCAUUAAUCAAGAACGAAAGUUAGGGGAUCGAAGACGAUCAGAUACCGUCGUAGUCUUAACCAUAAACUAUGCCGACUAGGGAUCGGAUGAUGUUAAUUUUUUAAUGACUCAUUCGGCGCCUUACG
This 520-nucleotide unclassified non-coding RNA is filed under the name uncultured Glomus. Its description in RNAcentral is "SSU rRNA". It matches the Rfam family "Eukaryotic small subunit ribosomal RNA", at positions 569 to 1092 of the family's 1831-position model. The record is from RNAcentral. Lineage: Eukaryota; Fungi; Glomeromycota; Glomeromycetes; Glomerales; Glomeraceae.